Non-coding RNA from Eimeria praecox, 46 nucleotides. Lineage: Eukaryota; Apicomplexa; Conoidasida; Eucoccidiorida; Eimeriidae. The record is from Rfam.
ACUUAGGCUUCUCUAGAAGCCACCAUAAAUUAUAUUAUAUAUAUAU